RNAcentral lists this ribosomal RNA (514 nucleotides) under uncultured bacterium. RNAcentral's name for it is "bacterial SSU rRNA". It matches the Rfam family "Bacterial small subunit ribosomal RNA", at positions 15 to 518 of the family's 1533-position model. The record is from RNAcentral.
GAUUAUGGCUCAGGAUGAACGCUAGCUACAGGCUUAACACAUGCAAGUCGAGGGGCAGCAUGAUCUUAGCUUGCUAAGAUUGAUGGCGACCGGCGCACGGGUGAGUAACGCGUAUCCAACCUUCCCUAUAGUAGAGGAUAGCCCGGCGAAAGUCGGAUUAAUACUCUAUGUUAUUCAAUGCAGACAUCUAAGUUGAAUCAAAGGUUUACCGCUAUAGGAUGGGGAUGCGUCUGAUUAGGUUGUUGGCGGGUAACGGCCCACCAAGCCCUCGAUCAGUAGGGGUUCUGAGAGGAAGGUCCCCCACAUUGGAACUGAGACACGGUCCAAACUCCUACGGGAGGCAGCAGUGAGGAAUAUUGGUCAAUGGGCGAGAGCCUGAACCAGCCAAGUAGCGUGCCAGGAAGACGGCCCUAUGGGUUGUAAACUGCUUUUAUACAGGGAUAAAGUGUGCCACGUGUGGCGUUUUGUAGGUACUGUAUGAAUAAGGACCGGCUAAUUCCGUGCCAGCCGCAGC